This is a non-coding RNA of Macaca mulatta (Rhesus monkey), 494 nucleotides long. Lineage: Eukaryota; Metazoa; Chordata; Mammalia; Primates; Cercopithecidae. The record is from RefSeq and is a predicted model, not a curated record.
GAAAGGCUGUUCUAGGAAUGAAAGGGAGGAGAAUCUGCUGCCCUCUUUUCAUUUUACUGGCCACACCUCCCCAACAUGGUCUGCCAAGAGAAACGGGUCUGAGAAAAGCAGCAUGAUUCUCACCACAGCUCUUUAGCAAGUUUCCAGGGGUUUUCAGCAUAGCAGGCAGCUGCUUCCCAAAUUCAGCUCUGCUCCCUCCUCCUGGUUGAGCUGCUUCGUGUAUAAACUCCGCCCGGCCAGCACACACCUCCUGACGCUCUUGAGUGGUGGCCAAAGCCUGUUAGGAGUGAAGCAGUUAAAAAGGCUUAGUCCUGGAAAAGUAGAGGAGGUGAAAACCUGCCUGGGGAGGCUGCUGAAGGACGCCAGGAAGAAUUCUUAUCUCCAAAUUCGAUCCUACCUCCCAGCUAGCUGCUGGUGUUUGAAAUUCCAACUCUGAAGUGUUAGUCUGGUAUCUCCUUUUAAAAUGUAGAAGAGAGUAAACAAAGUUUUUCACA